RNAcentral lists this ribosomal RNA (649 nucleotides) under uncultured bacterium. RNAcentral describes it as "bacterial SSU rRNA". It matches the Rfam family "Bacterial small subunit ribosomal RNA", at positions 81 to 765 of the family's 1533-position model. The record is from RNAcentral.
UGGGCCCUUCGGGGAGUGCAGACGGGUGAGUAACGCGUGGGAAUUUACCCAGCUCUACGGAACAACUCAGGGAAACUUGAGCUAAUACCGUAUACGCCCUUUUGGGGAAAGAUUUAUCGGAGUUGGAUGAGCCCGCGUUUGAUUAGCUAGUUGGUGGGGUAAUGGCCUACCAAGGCGACGAUCAAUAGCUGGUCUGAGAGGAUGAUCAGCCACACUGGGACUGAGACACGGCCCAGACUCCUACGGGAGGCAGCAGUAGGGAAUAUUGGACAAUGGGCGCAAGCCUGAUCCAGCCAUGCCGCGUGAGUGAUGAAGGCCCUAGGGUUGUAAAGCUCUUUCAACGGUGAAGAUAAUGACGGUAACCGUAGAAGAAGCCCCGGCUAACUUCGUGCCAGCAGCCGCGGUAAUACGAAGGGGGCUAGCGUUGUUCGGAUUUACUGGGCGUAAAGCGCACGUAGGCGGAUCGUUAAGUGAGGGGUGAAAUCCCAGGGCUCAACCCUGGAACUGCCUUUCAUACUGGCGAUCUGGAGUUCGAGAGAGGUGAGUGGAAUUCCGAGUGUAGAGGUGAAAUUCGUAGAUAUUCGGAGGAACACCAGUGGCGAAGGCGGCUCACUGGCUCGAUACUGACGCUGAGGUGCGAAAGCGUGGG